AGAGUUGAUCGGCUCAGAACGAACGCUGGCGGCGCGUUUAAGCAUGCAAGUCGAGCGGCAAGGGCCUUCGGGCCCCUAGAGCGGCGGACGGGUGAGUAACACGUGGACAAUCUGCCCCCCGGCCCGGGAUAGCCCAGGGAAACCUGGAUUAAUACCGGAUGAGACGGGACCCGCGAUGGCGGGAUCCGGGAAAGGCGCUGCGGCGCCGCCGGGGGAUGAGUCUGCGUCCCAUUAGCUAGACGGCGGGGUAACGGCCCACCGUGGCGACGAUGGGUAGCCGGCCUGAGAGGGUGGACGGCCACAUUGGAACUGAGACACGGUCCAGACUCCUACGGGAGGCAGCAGCUAAGAAUCUUCCGCAAUGGGCGAAAGCCUGACGGAGCGACGCCCGCGUGAACGAAGAAGGCCGUGAGGUUGUAAAGUUCUUUUCGGGAGGGGGAACAACCGUGGCAGGGAAUGGCCGCGGGAUGACGUGAAUCCCGGAAUAAGCCCCGGCUAACUACGUGCCAGCCGCUGC
This 517-nucleotide ribosomal RNA is filed under the name uncultured bacterium. RNAcentral describes it as "bacterial SSU rRNA". It matches the Rfam family "Bacterial small subunit ribosomal RNA", at positions 8 to 518 of the family's 1533-position model. The record is from RNAcentral.